CACUGACAUGAUUACAUUACCGUUCCCCAAAAAUUGUAAGUGAAAAAUGAGUAAAUAUAGAAAAAAACAUGGGAUAGUUUUAAAAACCACUUGAUAUAACAUAUUUUCUGCGUAUGAAAAAUGUGUCUGACGUAAAAUAAAAGCAAUAUGCCUAGAGCGAUGUUUUUACCAUGUGUAUUGGAAGGAAUAAAAGUAGUGAAUCUCUCCAUUCGUCAGAUACUUCGCGUAAACGUUCGCCUCGGCCGGAGAGAAAGAAAAGUAACAGUGCGCAGAAUUUAAAAAACGCCAAUAAGUCACAGUCACAAUCCCGUGCAGCAGUAAGACCUCUAAACAUACCUGGUUUAUUCCCAUACAAUAUUCCUGGCCUGAAGCACAAUAACGCACCCACAAAACAAAACAGUAAUACGCAUGUAAGAAAAAAUAGCAUCUUGGACUUAAAACAAAACAUAAGCAAGGGAAAGGUGCCUGUUAUAGAGACAGAGAGACGCAGAGAUAAAUCCCCUAAGCCAGAGGUACAUAAAGAGGUCCAUAAGAAAUUAAAAAAUCGGGGUGUUGUAACUCAAGAAGUGUACCCAGCAGUGGUCAGUGAAAAGAACAAGCAAACUUACGUAGAUGCUGCAAAGGUCUGGAAAACUCCGCCUCCGACUCCUGUGUCUAAAGAUUUGCCUGGCCCGAGCAAUCAAAAAGUUAAAGACAAACCAAAAAAAGAAAAAAGAAGAAAGUCCUUAAAAAUAGCAGUACGACGUCAGCUAUGGAAUUGGUCGAAACACGCUCUCAAGGAUAAUGAACAUUGGGGAAAACUAUUCAAAGAUAAUGCUAUAGAUGUUGAUAAAAUCAAUAUUGACAAAGUGGAUUUAAGUCUCAUAAAUAUGGAUGGUUUGGGUAUUCAAAAUAAAUUUGUAAGACGAACUGUGGAAUGGUUACUGAAAUAAAAUAAUGUUGUUCUAUUAGCCAUUGUUUUAAUGUAUAAAUCCAGUCUUCGCCAGCUAGUAGAUACUGUCUCCGAUAGCAAAUAAAAGAAUCGGAUGAAGUUGUACAAUAUGUCUGAUAACUAUGCCUCAAGUACUAAUUCUAUUCUAUGAUUGUAUGAAAUGUUGAUGUCCAAAUGUUCAGUCGUGCUGCGACAGAUCACGAACGACGACAUUGAAAAUUUAGAUUUUGAUCUUUGUCUGGUUUUAAUUAUUGUUUUAUCCUAUUGAUCCUACCACUUUUGCAUGAAUCAUGGUCAUGGCGGAUCGCUUUGAGUACAUUUUCUGUCUGACAUGUAUCAACCAAAUUCUUAUGUUUCGCACAAUAAUACUUACCUAUUCAUUAUUACAAAAUUAUACUGUUGACUCUACAUUCUUUCAAUCAAUCCCGAGUAGCAGGUAAGUAAUCGAAACGCACUGUGAUUUGUGAUAAGAGACAUGCUGAAUAGCUAUGUCGGAUUUGUUAUGGUUCGUUGCAGUAGUUGUUCGUUUCUUGAUUAUAAAGGAUGUAAAGGAUACUCGUAGAUUUUGUUCUUAAGAGUUGCAAUUUUUUCAGGUAUACCUCAGACUUGUAAAUUUAGUAACGACACGAAAUUGUCAACCGCGAACUAACCACGAAAAUCAGAAUCAACCACAAUCUCUUAGCCCAGGACUACCAGAAAAUGACAACCUUAAUGAGGCACCCAAUGUGAGACCUAGAAAUCGAUGCUGUCCCUACGAUUUUGACAGUACGUUAUGUAAAGUUGUCGAUGAUAGAGUCCUUUGUGGAUUUAACAGAAACGUAGGGAGGCCUGCGAGUAAAGAUCAUGAAGUUGAACUUGGCCAGAAUUGCCGUUUGAAAGGGGGAAGAUUGGAAUGUGGUUAUGUGAAUGGGCCUUUUACAAAUCCGCGCAGGCCUCCCCCGUGGUAUAAGCCUGGAUCCGAAUCAGAUGGUGACAAUGAUGUUGAUUUCAAUCCGUCAGGAAAUGACAAUGAUGUUGACUUCAAUCCUCCGGGAAAUGACAGUCCUGAAGUGACUGAUGAAGAGAGCAAACAAAAAUUGAAGCACAAAAUAGUGACGCCUGCACCCCAUCGAGGGGUGACCAGUGGAGCCGGUCCUGUGUCCUGUGUCCCAUGAAGAUGUAAGCUAUGUUAUUGAGGCAAGCAUCAAAAUUAAAUUAAUAGCUACUUAUUGAA
Molecule: long non-coding RNA, 2144 nt
Organism: Ostrinia nubilalis (European corn borer)
Lineage: Eukaryota; Metazoa; Arthropoda; Insecta; Lepidoptera; Crambidae
Exons: 3
Source: RefSeq, a predicted model, not a curated record